This is a long non-coding RNA of Lotus japonicus, 2799 nucleotides long. RefSeq lists it as uncharacterized. The transcript is spliced from 3 exons. Lineage: Eukaryota; Viridiplantae; Streptophyta; Magnoliopsida; Fabales; Fabaceae. The record is from RefSeq and is a predicted model, not a curated record.
AAGACCAAUGACUGUGAAUAAGAAAAUAGAGAUAAGCUGUAUGUAAAGAAGUAAAACUGAACAUGAUUAGACAAUAUUCUGAGAAAAUCUAUAAGAUAGAAAAGCCAAUCUGCAGCGAGGAAUGACCCAUUUGCAAAACCUUGAUUGCCUUGGCUACUCAAAGUGAGACCAAGAUUUAGCAGGGUCCCUCCAAAUACCGUAUAUAUUGUAGCCAUUUGUAAAGCUGUUGCUUUCCGAUUAGCAAAUCAAGUUACAGUUUCAAAUGAGAAAUAUAAGUUGCAGAGUGACUACUAUAUGAAUUCACUUAAAUGUAGACAUAUUUGUUGGGGAUUCAGAUCUGAAAGGCGUCUAUUUAUCUAUUUAUACUAUAUUAGUCCUGAUUCCUGAGACACAAGUUGUAGCGAUGCCAACUCAUUCAGGGCUUUCAUGGCAGGGGUGAGUUUCGCCCAUACGAGCAGAGGUGGAAGGGAGAUGGCUAUUUCAUGGUUCUUUUGCUUAACUUCCGUUUCAUCAAUCAGCGAUGCCUGCAAUUAUGAAUGUUGUUCGGGCUGUUUCCCUCUCGAUGAAGCUUAUCCCUCAUCGUCUGCAGGAUCAACAACAAUAGCUGCACGGAGUACGGUAGAAUUCCUUGGUACGGUCAUUCGGGAAGUCCCUCCGAGGACGACUCCUGUUAGGAAACAAUUUGCCCAACAAUGAAACAGCUCAGAAAUUAAGACAAAUUUUACCUACUAUAGAGGUAUCUGGCAUGCUUUACAAACAAUUAGCAAGAAAGAAUGCAUACAAGGCUUUUAAAAGGGACUUGGAACUACACUCUUGGGAUGUUGUGAAUCUAACAUUACCUUAAAUUUAUAUUUCUUUCAUGUGUAAUUGUCUGCAUCUCUGGUGCUAAUGCCGACUGUAGGGCCUAAUAUAGAAAUCAGCUUCUCAUAGCUAUUUUAUUAUUGUUGAUUAUAUGUGUGCAUAUGAUCUAAUGAUUAAACUGUUGUUGUUAGUCUGGCCUGUGGCAGUUUUCAGGCAUUGCUUCAUCUAACAUGUCUCUGAUCAAAAGGAAAAAUAAUGACUUGCACCUUUGCUUUUCCUUCCUAUAGAUAUUCUUGAUUAGUUGAGCUUUUGAUUUUCUUUGGCUGAUAAGUAUUCUUGAUAGUUUCUUUUUUUGAUGUUUCUUGCAAUUGAGGUUUUUGAAUAUCUCUUAUUAAGAUUGAGUCUGUUCUUAGUCUUAUCUCAUAGAAAUAGAGAUAAGAUUUGUUUCUCUAUUGUAGAUGUAUAGAGUUUGAUCCUCAUUUGCAACGUAUCGUUCCUUAAUUUUCCUCCAGAAGUAUGCUAAGGAUGGAGAUCUUUCUUUCUCCAUGAUUUAAUUGGUGGUCACCCCACCCCACCCAAUGGUUUUCUUCUUCGUUCGUGUAUGUACAUCAUAAAAGUAAAGAUGGAUGUUCUUUGAGUUCAUUUGACACUUUUUGAAUAUUUUCCAUGUCAAACCAGAAAAGUUAAUGAAGGUCAUGACCCUGAGCUUUAGCUCAUGGUCUACAGUUCAAAGUACAGGACAAAGCAAAAGUAGGAGGAGUGCUCUAAAAGUGAUGCCACCUUCAAAGGCAACCACCAUGACGUUAGGAAUGAAGUAAGGAAUGAAGGCGUGAGACCUCAACCGAAAUCUAUGAAUGUCACAAUAUAACAGAACUCUAUGAAUGUCACAUGUGUUUCAGAGCCUCUACCCUCCAAGUCAGAUAUGGUAAUACUAGGGAAGAGGAAGGUUGUUGUGGACUUGUGUACACACACACACAUAUAUAGGGAGGGAGCGUAUCAAGUGAGAGGAGUGGUUUAUUGUGAGAGAUGAGAGGAUUUAAUCAUAACCAUUGAAUUAACAUUAGCGGCUCGGAUUUAAUUUUAAUCAGAAUAGUCACGCUUCAUUAUCUCCUGCUCCUCAUUUCGUAUCCCCAUUCGCGUUCUUUUCAGUCAUCGUUUUCGUUUCUGAUUUCCCUGAGUCCACCAUGCUAAACACUCAUGCUGCAGAACCAAAGGAGCCAUAUAUAACCACAUUGUCGCAUAUUGAAGAAAUAAAGGUGAAAGGGGAAAAGAGUCUGAGAUGGCCAUAACCUAGAAGCAAUAAUCAAGAUCUUUAAUUAAAAUUUACAAUAAUUGAAAUUGUAACUCAAAUCACGAUGAAGCCUUCACGGCGAGCCUGCAGGAGUUUCUUUUGGUGCUUGACAACCUGCUCGAUGUAGUCGAAGCGGCGAGCCGGGAAACGGUGUCGUCGAAGGCGAAGCGAUUCUCAAUGAGGAGGCGGUUGGUGGCAUUGGCUUUGAAGAGGAGGAAGAGCUUGUGUGGAUCCCGCUCUGCUUUGAGCUUAUCGAGAGCAGGUGGUUCUAAGGGCUUUUUGGCGGUGGUGGUUACGGCGGUUGUGGCGGCGGAGGAGAAGUUGUAGAGCCUGCGAGUGGAUCUCAGGGAGAGCAUGAUCAAGGAGAGAGCGAGAGUGGAUGAAGAUCGUGCUCCUCGAGAUUAACGGUGGAGGAGAAGGCGAUGGUUGUGGCGGAAGAGGACAUGGGGUUUAGGGGAAGCGCCACCAUUGGAUGAGAGCUGCUGGUGGAAGCUGUGUUUUGUUCCUAGAUUGGGUGUGAGUGAGUUCAAGGGAACUCUUUAAAUUAAAAUUAAAUCUGGACCGUUAAUCUUCAUCCAAUCGUUAUUAAUUAAUGCUUUCAUCUCUCACAAUAAACCACUCCUCUCACUUGAUACGCUCCCUAUAUAUAUAUAUGGCUUUGUUAGCUUUUAACCUUCUGAUGAAUUUUUAAUAUUGCUGCAUGUUAU